AACGCAAAUGGCACUCUAUGGUAUUCCGUAGAGUACGUCUGUUUGAGCGUCGCGAACAUCUCCAUAAUUAGUUUUUUUAAAUUGAUUAAGGGUUUUGAGGUUGUCAUUGUAUUAUGACUCCCUUUAAAAUGAUUAGUGAUGACCUUAUGAAUGGGUUAAUACUGUGUGUUAUAAUGGAUUACAUCCAUCACCAGUCAGAGAGUAAUCUCGCCUUAGUAAUUUGUAGUGAUUGCUUCUAAUAGCCUUUAUUGGCAAAAUAAAUGAUCAAAUCGACCUCAAAUCAGAUGGGAUUACCCGCUGAACUUAA
RNAcentral lists this unclassified non-coding RNA (307 nucleotides) under uncultured Wallemia. Its description in RNAcentral is "sequence contains ITS2". Lineage: Eukaryota; Fungi; Basidiomycota; Wallemiomycetes; Wallemiales; Wallemiaceae. The record is from RNAcentral.